UCAUCCGGGGUCGAACCGAGCCGGACCAGAGCGAGUUGCGUCUUGCGCGUGGCCCACCUAAUUUUCCAUCGUCUCAGACGUAAUUUCUUUUUCUUUUUUACAGCGACAAUUUCUCGGUCGAGCUAAACCCACCUUCCUCAAAUCGUGUGUGCGGUUCCGGAUUUUUGGUUCGGUGGAGUCGGGGUGUGGCCUGGCGAUUGGCGAGGAUAGGUGGUGCCGGCGGCGACGCCUAGGGAAGGAGCAACCGGCGGUGGCGCGUGAGAGCAGGAGGAGCGGCGCACGCGGCGUGGCGGCGGCUGGCUACGCGGCUUGAUGGCUCAAGCCUGAGCGGCCCCGGCGCCGGUGCCGGUCGUUGGGGCGACGUCCACCUCCAUCCCCAUCUUCUCCUCCGCAGCUCAAAGCCUUGUCCGCUUCAGCGCUACCACGGAGCCGUGAUUCCCAGCGUCAAACAGGCCCCUCGCUAGCCUCCUCCUCCUGCUUCUUCCUCCUCCUCCUCCUUCUCUCUCUCCCUCUCCGGCGCGUGCGUGAACUGGAGACGGAGAUGCUGCUCGUGCUGCUGCCGCCGCUUGGCUCCUCGGGAGCAGCAGCAGCCGCUCGGAUUCAGCCCUGACAAAAAGGUAACCAAUCAAACCAAUUCCUCUUCCUCUGUAUUUUUUUCUUUUAGGCAAGAAUCUAUCUGAGUUUUUUGAGGCAAAAUUCCUCUGAUUAAUUCCAACGCAAUGGAGCAUUGAGAAAUUUGUUGCUGCCAUCACAUCUUGAGUAGUUAAUUACAGCAGCCAUGAGAAAUAUUAUGUUCGAUGGAGUUGACUUGCACCUGUUCGACGGAAUGCUCGUGAGAGUGUUUUUUUUAGCAUAAUGCAGGUUUGUUCUUUACUUCCUUCUCUGCAAGAUUGAAACACUGACCAAUAAUACUAAGAUUUUAUUGUCUGGUCUGCAGAAGUAUUUAAUUUGAUGCCACUGUUUGAGCUUAUGAAAAAUUACAAAGUAGAGUUGGCGUGAUCAUAUCCUUUUUAAGUACUUUCAGGAUUGUACAUCCUCUGGAACAGAAAAUAAACAGGGAGAGGAAAUCAUGCACAUCCUCUUUUCUUAUUUGUAUUUGUCCUGCUUUUCUUUAGCUGAGGCUGAAAGUAAGCAUCUUUGUGGUCAUGUCCUAAUGUUCUAAUACUCCCGCUUUCCUCUCAGAUUUUUCCUUAAAUCUUAUGGUAGCUUUUCACCUAAAGAUCAAAGUAUUCCUCUAUUAUUUAGACACAAACCAGUAAAGCUCAAAUGAUGUGAGUUAAUUAGGUCAAAAGCUGAACUGAUGUGAGUUCAUCAGGUGUUCCUGUUAGUUGGCUUGCCCAAUAGAUAUUAGUUUGCUUGCUCAACUGAAACAAAAGUUUGAUAAUUUGGGACUGGCAAAGGGGGACAUAUAUGAAGAUUCAAAUAUUUGUCUCAGCACAAAUAUAAGCAACAAGGUCUUAUCUCUUCCAUUAUUUUAUUACUAUAUGAAGUUUGAGGUCUCUAGUUUCAACCUGAUGAAGGGUAGGGUGACUCGUUGUAGAAACUAGCAGACUUUGCUGGGUAAUUAGAAUUUGCAAUUUCGUCUCAAUGCAAACUACCAGACUCUAAACCCUGUCUAUUCCAGGAACUACAAAGAUUUGCUACAGGUGGUUUAGCACGUCAAGUAUUUGUGCAGAGAAAGAAGGCUAGGGGAGGAGGUUACAGUAAAAAGGUGCACUUGGCUUCCUUUAGUGUGCUCUAAGCUGUUUGCAGAAGGUAUUCUUGAUGCUUCUUUAAUGUGUGUUGUAGGAUAAUCCAAGUUUUCCUUCUUCCAGGCUCUAUUGUGCUUUUCAGAUCAUGUUAUCCUAUCUAAUGCCCGCUACAACUAAUUUAUCUGUGUCAUCUUGCCCUUUUUCUCGAUUGUUAGCAUGUGAUUCGUUAGUUUUCUUGUGAGUUCCUCCCUAUGUUGUCCUCUAAGAGAUUUCAUUUUGUGCACCGUAAGUCUUUGAUCGCGUACAUAUAUAAUUUCGGAUUUGAUUUAUUGCUAAUGGAAUGAUUGUUUUCAUAUGGUUGGACAUAACCAGGUUUAGCUUAAAUAAGGUGCUUGCAAGCUUACAACAAUGAUUUAUUUUGUGUUCCAAAAUUACAAUCUGUACUAAUCUGUUUGAAAAAAUCAGACUUUAACCUCUUUCCCUGUGGAUGUGUAUCAAAACUGACAGUUGACUGCUGAUACUAUGUUCAUGAAAUUAAGAGAGCUUGUAACGUUGGCUUUUCUUGAUUAUAAUACGAGCAUACUGGUGGUACCCGGUUUAUAUAAUAAUUCAUUAUUAAAUGGAAUUCUUGGAGUUUUUCCUUCAUACCAGGUUUAAGAACUCUUAUGCAUCGAAAUUCACAGGAGAACACCUGCAUGGUAAGUUUCUUUAGUUUCUAUAACAUACAGAUAGAGCUGCUUUGUUUUACAGUACAUUACUGCUUCAUGUGGAUCUCAAACCCUUUCAUGUUCGGCUUAUGGAUUGAAAGGUGUGAUUGCAUUCUUUGGUACGGUAAUGGUCUCAUCAGCUAUUUUACGUUCGUGGAGAGUCUCAGCUUCUCUGACCAUACACCAGUAUACAGUAUUUUUAUGGCAGAGGUUGAGAUUGUCCACCAGAGGAAGAGAGACAUGGGCUAUUUUAGCUCUAGGAUUGAGGUGGAAAAGCUGUUACCACAUUCAGAGAGCUAAACUUCCUCUAAUUUUACUUGUGAGCAUGUUGUAAGGUUAGGAGGUGAAAAGCAUUUAUGUAUGGUUUAAGAAUCAAAGCACACUGGAUUAUCAGAUGUGAGUUUGACUAAAUAUUUCUUCUUUCGCCUCUUUGUUUGAUGAAACGGACAUGCUUAGAGUCUAAGAUAUGAAUAUGAUUGCCGAUAAUGAUGAUGAUUUAAUCUGAAACCUAAUAUCUUGUUGUUUCGUCAUGUCUCAUGACAAAUACUCAAGCAAGAAUGUGCAAAUACUAACUUACAGGAUGUUGGGCAAUUUUGCAGGCAGUCAUUGUGUCAGAUGGAGAGAAGUGUUACUGGCCUGAGGGAGGAAUGAUGAGUCUGAAAGGGCUUGCAUAUAUAGUUACAAUCAUGUCUAUACCUUUCUUCUUCUGCUGUUGUAGUGCUUGAGCAGUUAAGUGAGGCAUGUGUUUUUUGUACUCGUCGUUGUUGUGACAAAAGGAUUGCUUAAUUUGACCUCUGUAAUGAUGCUUGAAAAUUUUCGUUUGCCACUCUAUUUUGUUAAUCAAACAAGUUCCUGCGCA
Brachypodium distachyon (stiff brome) is the source of this 3257-nucleotide long non-coding RNA. RefSeq lists it as uncharacterized. The record is from RefSeq and is a predicted model, not a curated record. NCBI's taxonomy places the organism in Eukaryota, Viridiplantae, Streptophyta, Magnoliopsida, Poales, Poaceae. The transcript is spliced from 3 exons.